RNAcentral lists this ribosomal RNA (497 nucleotides) under Heteroconis sp. N800013. Its description in RNAcentral is "partial 16S ribosomal RNA". The stretch from base 352 to 497 matches the Rfam family "Bacterial large subunit ribosomal RNA", at positions 2473 to 2619 of the family's 2925-position model. Lineage: Eukaryota; Metazoa; Arthropoda; Insecta; Neuroptera; Coniopterygidae. The record is from RNAcentral.
UGAUUUUAUAUUAAGGGCUGCAGUAUAUUGACUGUACUAAGGUAGCAUAAUCAUUUGUUUUUUAAUUGAAAACUAGUAUGAAUGGUUGGAUGAGAAAUUUACUGUCUCUGAUUAAUAAAAAUAAUAAUUUAAAUUUUUAGUUAAAAUGCUAAAAUAUUAUUAAAAGACGAGAAGACCCUAUAGAUUUUUAUUUUAGUUGUUAAUUAAUAAUUUAUUUAAUAAUAAUUUUUUUUAAUAAUUAGAAUUUAAUUGGGGUGAUUUAAAAAUUUAGGUAACUUUUUAUUAUAUUUUUCAUGAUGAGUGUUUAUUUUUGAUCCUUAUAUAAAGAUUAUAAGAUUAAAUUACCUUAGGGAUAACAGCGUAAUUUUUUUGAAGAGUACUUAUCGUUAAAAAAGAUUGCGACCUCGAUGUUGAAUUAAAAUUUAUUUAAAAUGUAGCAGUUUUAUAAUUUAGUCUGUUCGACUAUUGAAAUUUUACAUGAUCUGAGUUCAAACCGA